UCGGGAAUUUUGGGCAAUGGGCGAAAGCCUGACCCAGCAACGCCGCGUGAAGGAUGAAGUAUUUCGGUAUGUAAACUUCGAAAGAAUAGGAAGAAUAAAUGACGGUACUAUUUAUAAGGUCCGGCUAACUACGUGCCAGCAGCCGCGGUAAUACGUAGGGACCAAGCGUUGUUCGGAUUUACUGGGCGUAAAGGGCGCGUAGGCGGCAAUUCAAGUCAUCUGUGAAAUCUCCGGGCUUAACUCGGAACGGUCAGAUGAUACUGCUUUGCUAGAGUGCAGAAGGGGCAAUCGGAAUUCUUGGUGUAGCGGUGAAAUGCGUAGAUAUCAAGAGGAACACCUGAGGUGAAGACGGGUUGCUGGGCUGACACUGACGCUGAGGCGCGAAAGCCAGGGGGAGCAAACGGGAUUAGAU
Molecule: ribosomal RNA, 412 nt
Filed under: uncultured bacterium
Lineage: Bacteria
Description: bacterial SSU rRNA
Rfam family: Bacterial small subunit ribosomal RNA
Source: RNAcentral